UCUUAUAACCAUCGAAGAACAUAUUGAAUUCAUCUUGGAUGACUUAUCUGAAGAGUACGAUGUCUUCAUUACCUUUGUAACCUCUCGAACUAAUCAUUAUUCGGUAGAAGUUGAGGCACUUCUUUUGGCUCAAGAAGACCGUCUAGAAAAAUAUCGCAACAAUAAUGAUCUUAUUUAUCAAGCUCAUAUUGCUUCUUUCCCUUGCACCAAGUCUUUUCCAACUAAUCAACGCAA
This 234-nucleotide long non-coding RNA is filed under the name Phaseolus vulgaris (common bean). RNAcentral describes it as "long non-coding RNA (PVUL_LNC003881)". The record is from RNAcentral. Lineage: Eukaryota; Viridiplantae; Streptophyta; Magnoliopsida; Fabales; Fabaceae.